Molecule: long non-coding RNA, 802 nt
Organism: Manduca sexta (tobacco hornworm)
Lineage: Eukaryota; Metazoa; Arthropoda; Insecta; Lepidoptera; Sphingidae
Exons: 4
Source: RefSeq, a predicted model, not a curated record
CCAGUUUGACGACUUCGUGAGGUCUAUCCAGGUGGACCCGCACUCGCCUCUCUUCAGACUCGUCACAGACGGACAACCUCCGCUCAGACAAUGCCUUCACCCCGAGGCGUGCAGCAAGGAGCUGACGCUGCCUGCGUACUACGCGCGCUUCCACGACCUGAGGAAGGAGUACGUGCGCACGUACAUUGCGCGCGGUGGCGCCGCCUCGUGCGCAAGCGCCGCCGCCGCCUCCGCCUCCCGACCACCCUACCUCGCUGUUGGAUAUGCUCAACUAUUUAGGUAUAACUCCGUACGCUGGAGAGAAUUUUUACGCAGCUGAAGUUAAAGACAUGACCAGCAUAAUACAAAGGAUAAUAUCAGACGGUUUCCGGUUAGAACUGCCAGAGACCGUGGACUUAGUUUUAGAAACAGGAAUAUGGUAAGCAUUUGUAUUAUUACUACUUAUAUUUCUAAUAUUUAGAAUGAACACACAUUCAUAAGUAAACAAAUCCGAAAAAACUAUUUUUACGCCUGAUAAAAAUACACGGGCAACAAAAAGUUGUCACCGAAAUAUAACAUUGUUGAUGUGCUACAAUUUUUUCUCACUCGUUCGGUAGAUGGCGCUAGUUGUUUUAACAGUUGCAGAAUUAUUUUCUGCGAGUUCUGUCUUUAUUGUAGGUACUUAUAAAGAUGACGAAAGCGUGUUCUUUACAGCUGUAGUCUGUAGGUAUUAUUCAUCAUUGAUAAUGGGUUAUUCAAUAUUACGCAUACAAAAUCACGGAGAACAUAUUUUAUUUACCACAGUUCCUACAUUCUAAUAGGU